AUUGAACGCUGGCGGCAUGCUUUACACAUGCAAGUCGAACGGUAACAGGCCGCAAGGUGCUGACGAGUGGCGAACGGGUGAGUAAUGCAUCGGAACGUGCCCAGUCGUGGGGGAUAACGCAGCGAAAGCUGCGCUAAUACCGCAUACGAUCUAUGGAUGAAAGCGGGGGACCGUAAGGCCUCGCGCGAUUGGAGCGGCCGAUGUCAGAUUAGGUAGUUGGUGGGGUAAAGGCUCACCAAGCCGACGAUCUGUAGCUGGUCUGAGAGGACGACCAGCCACACUGGGACUGAGACACGGCCCAGACUCCUACGGGAGGCAGCAGUGGGGAAUUUUGGACAAUGGGCGCAAGCCUGAUCCAGCAAUGCCGCGUGCAGGAAGAAGGCCUUCGGGUUGUAAACUGCUUUUGUACGGAACGAAACGGCUCUGGUUAAUACCUGGGGCUAAUGACGGUACCGUAAGAAUAAGCACCGGCUAACUACGUGCCAGCAGCCGCGGUAAUACGUAGGGUGCAAGCGUUAAUCGGAAUUACUGGGCGUAAAGCGUGCGCAGGCGGUUUUGUAAGACAGACGUGAAAUCCCCGGGCUCAACCUGGGAAUGGCGUUUGUGACUGCAAAGCUGGAGUGCGGCAGAGGGGGAUGGAAUUCCGCGU
RNAcentral lists this ribosomal RNA (649 nucleotides) under uncultured bacterium. RNAcentral describes it as "bacterial SSU rRNA". It matches the Rfam family "Bacterial small subunit ribosomal RNA", at positions 28 to 674 of the family's 1533-position model. The record is from RNAcentral.